This 63-nucleotide transfer RNA is filed under the name Muda kuroiwae. Its description in RNAcentral is "tRNA-Asp". The record is from RNAcentral. Lineage: Eukaryota; Metazoa; Arthropoda; Insecta; Hemiptera; Cicadidae.
AAGGAAUUAGUUUAAUUAAAAUAUAAAUUUGUCAAAUUUAAGAUACUAUUCAAGUGUUUUUUA